CCUACGGGCGGCAGCAGUGGGGAAUAUUGGACAAUGGGCGAAAGCCUGAUCCAGCCAUGCCGCGUGUGUGAAGAAGGCCUUCGGGUUGUAAAGCACUUUCGGUGGGGAAGAAAGCCUUGGGGCUAAUACCCUCGAGGAAGGACAUCACCCACAGAAGAAGCACCGGCUAACUCCGUGCCAGCAGCCGCGGUAAUACGGAGGGUGCGAGCGUUAAUCGGAAUUACUGGGCGUAAAGCGCGCGUAGGCGGUCUGAUAAGCCGGUUGUGAAAGCCCCGGGCUCAACCUGGGAACGGCAUCCGGAACUGUCAGGCUAGAGUGCAGGAGAGGAAGGUAGAAUUCCCGGUGUAGCGGUGAAAUGCGUAGAGAUCGGGAGGAAUACCAGUGGCGAAGGCGGCCUUCUGGACUGACACUGACGCUGAGGUGCGAAAGCGUGGGUAGCAAACAGGAUUAGAUACCCCGGUAGUC
This 465-nucleotide ribosomal RNA is filed under the name Vreelandella stevensii. RNAcentral describes it as "partial 16S ribosomal RNA". It matches the Rfam family "Bacterial small subunit ribosomal RNA", at positions 338 to 795 of the family's 1533-position model. The record is from RNAcentral. Lineage: Bacteria; Pseudomonadati; Pseudomonadota; Gammaproteobacteria; Oceanospirillales; Halomonadaceae.